UAUUCGAAUUUCUUAAUAUCAAAACUUUCAACAACGGAUCUCUUGGUUCUCGCAUCGAUGAAGAACGCAGCGAAUUGCGAUACGUAGUAUGACUUGCAGACGUGAAUCAUCGAAUCUUUGAACGCACAUUGCGCCUCGAGGCAUUCCUCGAGGCAUGCCUGUUUGAGCGUCGCAUCCCCUCUAACCCCCGGUUAGGCGUUGCUCCGAAAUAUCAACCGCGCUGUCAAACACGUUUACAGCACGACAUUUCGCCCUCAAAUCAGGUAGGACUACCCGCUGAACUUAAGCAUAUCAAUAAGCGAGGGAAAAGAAAAAACCC
Molecule: ribosomal RNA, 319 nt
Filed under: Clavispora lusitaniae
Lineage: Eukaryota; Fungi; Ascomycota; Pichiomycetes; Serinales; Metschnikowiaceae
Description: eukaryotic LSU rRNA
Rfam family: 5.8S ribosomal RNA (bases 23-172)
Source: RNAcentral